GUGAUGUCAGAAUGGAACGUCAGCACGGUAUGUGACUUUGUGUUUCGUGAUUUACCAAGGUACAGUAAACUUCUGUGUUGGAAUCAAGUCACAAUGCUUGAAAUACGUUGAGAACACCAGACCAGGAGGCCCUAGACCAGCACUGGCUGGGUUUUUCAGUGACUGCAGCUGAGCAGACUCUCCUCAGGAGAGUCCCCAGUUCGCUGUCAUGCUCAUGGCUCACCAUUCCCCCUGUGCCUGUGGUCUCACUCUGACCUGUGACGGGUGACAAGGCUAUUUUUGUCAUCAGAAAAUAUGUGUUAAUGAACUAGAAAUCUGUUUGAGAAGGUGAACAGCACGGCAUGAUCAUAUCUGACACUGACAGUGCAUACGUCGCUGCAUAGCACAUAGCAGUUAGCACUUCUGCUAGCUCCUUCAAUGCCACCAGUUUGUGAUUCCUUCUCUGGAAUGUAAGUGAAAGGAAACGUGCUGACACUCACCUUGCAAUCAUCACAUCAUGAACCUGUUAAUUUAAGUGUCUCUGUUGUUAUGGUUUCAGGUGGGUGUGGCUAAUAUCUGACCAUGGUGAAGUCGUGUGCUGCCAUCUCCUGCACCAGUCCAUUUGUAACAUUUCCUUUCAUAAGUUUCCCAAGCAGUCCAAGGACAGCACACUGAGAGAUCAAUGGAUACAGGCCAUCAGUAGAGAAGCGAUGGGGACCAAAAGGAGAUGAUCAUAAUUAUGUCUGCAGCAACCAUUUCAGGGAGGAGGACUUCAUCCUCUCAAAACAUGCUCAACACAAGCUUCUCAGGCCAGGAGCUGUACCAUCCCUCAGUUUGGGGAAACCAGAGAAAAAGAUCGCAGUGAGGACAACCCAAAGCAGCCCGGCAGCAGUGGCAUUAUACCAGCACAUGGACAUGGAGCCUGAAGAGGGCAGUGCUGCUGUUAGUGAACACCAUGCAUACUGUACAGACAGCGACAACCUGAAGAGGAAGUAGGCAGAACGUGUGAAGAGG
Long non-coding RNA from Acanthochromis polyacanthus (spiny chromis), 993 nucleotides. RefSeq lists it as uncharacterized. Lineage: Eukaryota; Metazoa; Chordata; Actinopteri; Pomacentridae. The transcript has 3 exons. The record is from RefSeq and is a predicted model, not a curated record.